Scophthalmus maximus (turbot) is the source of this 1143-nucleotide long non-coding RNA. RefSeq lists it as uncharacterized. NCBI's taxonomy places the organism in Eukaryota, Metazoa, Chordata, Actinopteri, Pleuronectiformes, Scophthalmidae. The record is from RefSeq and is a predicted model, not a curated record. The transcript has 2 exons.
CGGUGGUUGUUGGACGGCAAAGGCCUCAAACUGGAAGCCCCCGGCGGGGUUUGGCGUGGUCCUGUGCCGAAUCUGUAAGAGAAGCAGGAAAUAAUGAGUUCUUGGAGGAGUGUUGCAUAUCCCCCACAACAGCUCGUGUCAUCUGGAGAAGCGUGGUGUCGACUCGUGGCCUACAUUCGCCACUGCUAUUUGUUACCGUCAAAAACAGGUGAAGCGCAACGGGAUAAAGAUAGUCAACUCAUAGGUUCCUCCAGGAUUGGCCUGCUGUUGUCGGUGUGCCUGUGUAGCAACAGCAGCGGAUACCUGACGUGUGCAUCAUCUUCACCGAGAAGCCAGGAGCUCUGAGAAGUCUGCUGCUUGACGUGAGGGCCAUAAACCAGAGGAGAGGAGUCAUAUUCACAAGGAGUGUGGAAGAAUGCAGGCAUAACAUUUAACUGAUGUGUUAGAAAAAUGUAGGGAUACACAUUGUAGAUAUUUUGUUUGCCAAUAAUGUGAAACAAUGAUUUUAAUUUUUGUCAUUUUUAAUCAGUAGUUUUGUUUGCGUUUUCCUCUGUGAAAGUGGUCUCUUUUGGACACUACUGUAUAUCACAUGGACACAAAGACAUACUACUAUUCAAUCAUAGACUAUACAUAGAAAUUGAAAUAGUUGUCAUCUUCCAAACAACUGUGUGAUGGAUCAGAGGGGCCAGCCCGUGUCCUGGAUGCUCUCUGAUGACACGCGAGCUGACAACAGCCUAUAACCUAUCAACGUACAGACGGGCCGGUCACCUCCUGGCUAUGUCUCUGCCUGUGACCUGCAGGGUGACCUCUGUGGGUCUGUCCGUCUGCUGCCACAUCAGCCAGCGUAGCCAGGCCAUCGCAGUGCUACUCAUAUGAAAGCACAGCGUCUGAAUGAGACAAACUAAUGAGCAUAGGGUCUAUGAUUCAAUCAUUUAUAUUUUUUACGACAGGGCUCCACCGAUGCGGCUCCUUAGGAAGUUUAGUUGAUGUCUUACUGCAAAAUGCCAGGAGAAGAAAUGCAAAAAACAUUUUCUGUGGUUUUGGGCAGGGUUUGAAGACCGUGUCACUGCUCCUAUUUGUUCAGUGUAAAAAAACAGUACAACUGCCCCUCAAAAUGGAAUAAUACUGUAAGAACGAUACAAA